UCCAAAGUUAAGCAGCAUUGAGCCUAUUCAGUACUUAGAUGGGUGACCACUUGGGAAUACCAAGUGCUGUAUGC
This is a non-coding RNA of Acanthosepion pharaonis, 74 nucleotides long. The record is from the annotation of a GenBank genome assembly. Lineage: Eukaryota; Metazoa; Mollusca; Cephalopoda; Sepiida; Sepiidae.